This is a long non-coding RNA of Magnolia sinica, 2158 nucleotides long. RefSeq lists it as uncharacterized. The record is from RefSeq and is a predicted model, not a curated record. The transcript has 9 exons. Lineage: Eukaryota; Viridiplantae; Streptophyta; Magnoliopsida; Magnoliales; Magnoliaceae.
CCUACUGCGGCGCUCUCUCUCUCUCUCUCUCUCUCUCUCUCUCUCUCUCUCUCUGUGCCAACCAAGCGCUCUCCCUCUCUCCUUGCCACAAAGAGUGCAAAAAACUAGGGUUUACAGUGUACUGAUAGCUGGUAAAGACAGGAAUAUGACCCAACAAGCUAUUGUUGUUAAGCCGGCUAUGCUUCUACCAACAUGCCAAGGAACACAAUAUUUGUUCUGUGUGACUAGAACAUUGCUCUCCAACUUUCAGGCCAAGUUCGUCAGUGCGCACACCGGACAAAAAUUCAAUUUUUUGUACAUGAAGUGAGCUAAGUUCCUGUUCAUAAGUCAGAUUGGUUGAAUAAUUCUAACCUGAUUGGGACACUUGUUUGUCAAGUAAGACCAUUGGACAUAUUUCAGUUUUGACUGCCCAAUAAAUCUCCCCCAAUCUGAUAGUCAUCCAAUUGCAUGGAAUGAUUUAGGGUGAAACAUAUUUCUUCAUCAAAAACUUGCCUCUUGCUAAGCAAUCAGAUUCAAAAAUCCAAAGCAGAAGGUGAUCAAUGUCAUGCAUUGUCGGAGAAACUACAGCUGGUAACUGGUCAGUAGAUGCAUGUAGAUGCUUCUUGUGUAGUUUUUGCAGUUCAGGCAUUCAUUUUCUGUUGAAUAUUUCUUCAACAUCUGAUAUUAUAGGUUGAGAAGGAUGAUUUUGUCUGGUGGGAAAAAGAAGUGAAUAUGAAAGUUGAUUUAGCUGACAUUUCUCAAAGAACUGCUGCAAUUGUAGGCUCUUGAAUAAUCGAGCUAGAAAAGGAGUUAAAGAGACACAUUAUUGAAACAAAUCUGCUCGAGAGUAGGUUGGAAGAGGCUUCGAGAGAGCCAGGAUGGAAAGAGAUCAUUGCAGAGUUCAAGGGACUGCUUUCAUCUCUCCCCAAGGAUAUGGAUGUUAUGCAAAGCCGACUAAGUGAGUAUAAAGAAGCUGCAUUGGAAGUUCAUUCUCUACGAGCUGAAGUUCAAUCUCUGUUUAAUAUUAUUGAUAGGAAGGUAACUGCGUUGGGAAUGCUAUCGCGUAGAUCUGCCGAACAAGUUGCUGAAAUACAGAAACUGCAGGCUGUGGUAGGACUUGAGGGGAGUGCUAAUGGACGAUGGUGGUUGGAUGCUAUCAGGAAGGCCCUCAAAUAAGGAACAACAUUUGAACAUGUAGGAUCUAGGCAAUUGGCUGGUUUGCUUAUAUCCGCAGGACAUUGCAUUGGAGACAAAGUGAAUGUUCUUUUCUAGCCUCUGUUUUUUGGUGAUGCUUCGGAAGAAUUGUUGAAGUUUUCAGCUUCCAACUGCUUCUUUAUUUCCAUUGGAAUAUCAAACUUUGAUCAUCAAUGUGGGAAUUCAACUGAGUUGACUUGCCUGUUAUAGGAUGCGGGUGGCAAAAGACCGGUGCUCUCAUUAACCUCAGAACUUUCUACAUUGUGGGAAUUCCAACUAUUGUUCUCUUGGCUCUCAUCUUCCAUUUUGGAGGUAAGGCAUUCACCAAACAGGGCCUUUGCAAAAGUUAUGUGACAUGGAGUUCAAUACUGUGUUUUUGCAUGCUCAUGUAAUCCAAUGUAUGUAGUUCAAACUGUUCAUCCACCUGACGGAUGGCCCCUUGAGGUCUGUAUUUGCUUGACUUGUAGUAAUUACGACAAGAUGCUCUUCUUGUAUUAGCAUGUCUGAACAAUAUGACAAUGCUGGAGCAAGUACUAGCUUGAGCCUGAAUAGCAGCCUACAAGAUACGGAGGAUGACAGGAUUAUUGCCAAUAAUCCUAUAAGAGGAACAUGUCGGAGAGGAUAUGAGACUUGGGAAGCAUCUAUCUCAUUUAGAUUCCAUCCUGGUAAGACCCAAGCUCAUACUUUCUUGUAAUGUUUCGCAUAUGCCAAUUUAAUGAAUUGCCCACCCUUACCCCCUUUUUUUUUUCUUUUUUUUUGAUGUCCCUUUGUGUGAGAAAGCUUUCGCUGUGACUUGUGAGUGGUUGUAAACAAGAGAAUGCCUGAAAAGUUUAUUUAUGCUUAGAAAAAUGAUGGUUAGAAAAAGAAGUUUAAGGUGUUAUUUGGCACCAUGUAUUUGGAGGUAUUUGGGUGUAAAUGCAUAUUUUUAUGCGCUUGACGCCAUGCAAUCGGAGGUAAAUAGAAUAAGUGGUAAAUGAAAAGUUAA